GGAAGUAAAAAGUCGUAACAAGGUUUCCGUAGGUGAACCUGCGGAAGGAUCAUUAAAGAGUCAUUGUGGGUUUACACCCUAAUACUCCACCCAUUGUUUACAUUACCUUUGUUGCUUUGGCAGGCCCGUCCUCCGACCGCCGGCUUUCAGCUGGCCAGUGCCUGCCAGAGGACCUAAAACUCUUGUUUAAUAUUGUCUGAGUACUAUAUAAUAGUUUAAACUUUCAACAACGGAUCUCUUGGUUCUG
RNAcentral lists this unclassified non-coding RNA (247 nucleotides) under plant metagenome. RNAcentral describes it as "partial contains small subunit ribosomal RNA, internal transcribed spacer 1, and 5.8S ribosomal RNA". The stretch from base 1 to 55 matches the Rfam family "Eukaryotic small subunit ribosomal RNA", at positions 1778 to 1831 of the family's 1831-position model. The record is from RNAcentral.